AUGCCGAUGUUUGUUAAUUUGCUGUCGGUAGCCAAUAGCCCAAUACACAACUCUAUACCAGCUGCUCGAAUAUACGCAUGGAGGUGCUCUGCUCUGCCUCUGUACCAUUCCGUUGUCGUUGACCACAAACAAGUAGAGCUGGUUGGAGUGGGGGAAGUCGCCAUGGCCGAAGCCAUCGUCCAAAGCGCAUGCGCAAAGCUCAGAUCCGCCAUCGGAGAUGAGACCACGGCGGGUAGGAAACUCACCAGCGGCCUGCUGGAAGAAAUGAAGGAGGCGCUGGAGGCCGUAGAUUUGCGGCUCCUGGGUGAGGCCGAGAGGCUGCUGGUGCGGGGGAUGGAACCGCGGUCAGAGGAGGAGCCGGUGCGGGAGUGGGUGAGGCGGGUGAGGAAGAACUGUACUCAAACUCAGAUCUGA
RNAcentral lists this ribosomal RNA (414 nucleotides) under Triticum aestivum (bread wheat). RNAcentral's name for it is "partial small subunit ribosomal RNA". The record is from RNAcentral. Lineage: Eukaryota; Viridiplantae; Streptophyta; Magnoliopsida; Poales; Poaceae.